AGUCUCUGGAAUCUGAUCGAACGAGGUGACAGCACUAUCUCAAAUUUCGCGGUGGAAUGAUGGUGUUGGUUACGUCUGUGCGCGAUUACAUAAACCGGAUGUUCAGGCAUGAAGGUAAGCAAUGUGAGCAUUGUGUAUUCACAGUCAGAGCUGCUUCAGAAAGAAGUGUUCUUGUGGAAUCAAUGUCGCAUCUGAAAGCUGUUUAUUUCAUCCGCCCUACUUCGGAGAACAUUCAGAAGCUUCGAUACCAGCUUGCCAACCCUAGAUUUGGAGAACACCAUUUGUUUUUCUCCAAUUGAAGGAUACUCAGAUUCAUAUCUUGGCUGAUUCUGAUGAGCACGAGGCUGUACAACAAGUUCAGGAGUUUUAUGCAGACUUUGUUGCUGGUGAUCCGUACCAUUUGACAUUGAAUAUGCCAUCAAACCACCUCUGGUUUGCAGCGCUACUCCGAUAGGGUUGUUGAUGGAACGGCGGGGGUGUUUCUGGCGUUGAAACUUAGACCUGUCAUCAGAUACCAGAGGACCUAUGAUACUGCAAAAAGGAUUGCACACGAAACAGCUAAAUUGAUGUAUCAGCAUGAAAGCGGUCUUUUCGAUUUUAGACGGACUGAAAGCUCUCCGUUGCUGCUUGUAAUUGACAAAAGAGAUGACCCGGUUACCCCAUUGCUUAAUCAGUGGACAUAUCAGGCAAUGGUGCACGAACUCAUAGGACUUGAGGAUAAUAAAGUUGACGUGAGAGCCAUUGGAAGUCUUUCAAAAGAUCAGCAAGUUCAGGAGGUGGUUUUAUCAUCAGAACAAGAUGCAUUCUUCAAAGCUAACAUGUAUGAAAAUUUUGGGGAUAUCGGAAUGAACAUCAAGCGAAUGGUCGAUGACUUUCAGCAGGUGGCCAAGAGUAACAAAAAUAUCCA
Molecule: long non-coding RNA, 907 nt
Organism: Brassica oleracea var. oleracea
Lineage: Eukaryota; Viridiplantae; Streptophyta; Magnoliopsida; Brassicales; Brassicaceae
Exons: 7
Source: RefSeq, a predicted model, not a curated record